This is a non-coding RNA of Phrynosoma platyrhinos (Desert horned lizard), 73 nucleotides long. The record is from the annotation of a GenBank genome assembly. Lineage: Eukaryota; Metazoa; Chordata; Lepidosauria; Squamata; Phrynosomatidae.
GGCAGCAUGGUGUAGUGGUUUGAGUGUUGGACUAGGAUUCCAAGAGACUAGGGUUCAAAUCCCCAUUCACUUC